UCCCUGAUAGCUCAGUUGGUAAGGAAUCUGACUGCAAUGCAGGAGACCCUGGUUCAAUUCCUGGUUCGGGAA
Molecule: transfer RNA, 72 nt
Filed under: Bos indicus x Bos taurus (hybrid cattle)
Lineage: Eukaryota; Metazoa; Chordata; Mammalia; Artiodactyla; Bovidae
Also listed under: 1 other name
Rfam family: tRNA
About the family: Transfer RNA (tRNA) molecules are approximately 80 nucleotides in length. Their secondary structure includes four short double-helical elements and three loops (D, anti-codon, and T loops). Further hydrogen bonds mediate the characteristic L-shaped molecular structure. tRNAs have two regions of fundamental functional importance: the anti-codon, which is responsible for specific mRNA codon recognition, and the 3' end, to which the tRNAs corresponding amino acid is attached (by aminoacyl-tRNA synthetases). tRNAs cope with the degeneracy of the genetic code in two manners: having more than one tRNA (with a specific anti-codon) for a particular amino acid; and 'wobble' base-pairing, i.e. permitting non-standard base-pairing at the 3rd anti-codon position.
Source: Rfam by way of RNAcentral